GACGAACGCUGGCGGCGUGCUUAACACAUGCAAGUCGAACGGAAAGGCCCUGCUUUUGUGGGGUGCUCGAGUGGCGAACGGGUGAGUAACACGUGAGUAACCUGCCCUUGACUUUGGGAUAACUUCAGGAAACUGGGGCUAAUACCGGAUAGGAGCUCCUGCUGCAUGGUGGGGGUUGGAGAGUUUCGGCGGUUGGGGAUGGACUCGCGGCUUAUCAGCUUGUUGGUGUGGUAGUGGCUUACCAAGGCUUUGACGGGUAGCCGGCCUGAGAGGGUGACCGGCCACAUUGGGACUGAGAUACGGCCCAGACGCCUACGGGAGGCAGCAGUGGGGAAUAUUGCACAAUGGGCGGAAGCCUGAUGCAGCAACGCCGCGUGCGGGAUGACGGCCUUCGGGGUGUAAACCGCUUUCGCCUGUGACGAAGCGUGAGUGACGGUAAUGGGUAAAGAAGCACCGGCUAACUACGUG
This 468-nucleotide ribosomal RNA is filed under the name uncultured bacterium. Its description in RNAcentral is "partial 16S ribosomal RNA". It matches the Rfam family "Bacterial small subunit ribosomal RNA", at positions 28 to 507 of the family's 1533-position model. The record is from RNAcentral.